AGAGUUUGAUCAUGGCUCAGAUUGAACGCUGGCGGCAGGCCUAACACAUGCAAGUCGAACGGUAACAGGAAACAGCUUGCUGUUUCGCUGACGAGUGGCGGACGGGUGAGUAAUGUCUGGGAAACUGCCUGAUGGAGGGGGAUAACUACUGGAAACGGUAGCUAAUACCGCAUAACGUCGCAAGACCAAAGAGGGGGACCUUCGGGCCUCUUGCCAUCAGAUGUGCCCAGAUGGGAUUAGCUAGUAGGUGGGGUAACGGCUCACCUAGGCGACGAUCCCUAGCUGGUCUGAGAGGAUGACCAGCCACACUGGAACUGAGACACGGUCCAGACUCCUACGGGAGGCAGCAGUGGGGAAUAUUGCACAAUGGGCGCAAGCCUGAUGCAGCCAUGCCGCGUGUAUGAAGAAGGCCUUCGGGUUGUAAAGUACUUUCAGCGGGGAGGAAGGGAGUAAAGUUAAUACCUUUGCUCAUUGACGUUACCCGCAGAAGAAGCACCGGCUAACUCCGUGCCAGCAGCCGCGGUAAUACGGAGGGUGCAAGCGUUAAUCGGAAUUACUGGGCGUAAAGCGCACGCAGGCGGUUUGUUAAGUCAGAUGUGAAAUCCCCGGGCUCAACCUGGGAACUGCAUCUGAUACUGGCAAGCUUGAGUCUCGUAGAGGGGGGUAGAAUUCCAGGUGUAGCGGUGAAAUGCGUAGAGAUCUGGAGGAAUACCGGUGGCGAAGGCGGCCCCCUGGACGAAGACUGACGCUCAGGUGCGAAAGCGUGGGGAGCAAACAGGAUUAGAUACCCUGGUAGUCCACGCCGUAAACGAUGUCGACUUGGAGGUUGUGCCCUUGAGGCGUGGCUUCCGGAGCUAACGCGUUAAGUCGACCGCCUGGGGAGUACGGCCGCAAGGUUAAAACUCAAAUGAAUUGACGGGGGCCCGCACAAGCGGUGGAGCAUGUGGUUUAAUUCGAUGCAACGCGAAGAACCUUACCUGGUCUUGACAUCCACGGAAGUUUUCAGAGAUGAGAAUGUGCCUUCGGGAACCGUGAGACAGGUGCUGCAUGGCUGUCGUCAGCUCGUGUUGUGAAAUGUUGGGUUAAGUCCCGCAACGAGCGCAACCCUUAUCCUUUGUUGCCAGCGGUCCGGCCGGGAACUCAAAGGAGGCUGCCAGUGAUAAACUGGAGGAAGGUGGGGAUGACGUCAAGUCAUCAUGGCCCUUACGACCAGGGCUACACACGUGCUACAAUGGCGCAUACAAAGAGAAGCGACCUCGCGAGAGCAAGCGGACCUCAUAAAGUGCGUCGUAGUCCGGAUUGGAGUCUGCAACUCGACUCCAUGAAGUCGGAAUCGCUAGUAAUCGUGGAUCAGAAUGCCACGGUGAAUACGUUCCCGGGCCUUGUACACACCGCCCGUCACACCAUGGGAGUGGGUUGCAAAAGAAGUAGGUAGCUUAACCUUCGGGAGGGCGCUUACCACUUUGUGAUUCAUGACUGGGGUGAAGUCGUAACAAGGUAACCGUAGGGGAACCUGCGGUUG
RNAcentral lists this ribosomal RNA (1522 nucleotides) under metagenome. Its description in RNAcentral is "bacterial SSU rRNA". It matches the Rfam family "Bacterial small subunit ribosomal RNA". The record is from RNAcentral.